This 400-nucleotide unclassified non-coding RNA is filed under the name soil metagenome. RNAcentral's name for it is "partial contains 5.8S ribosomal RNA, internal transcribed spacer 2, and large subunit ribosomal RNA". The stretch from base 1 to 122 matches the Rfam family "5.8S ribosomal RNA", at positions 35 to 154 of the family's 154-position model. The record is from RNAcentral.
GAUGAAGAACGUAGCGAAAUGCGAUACUUGGUGUGAAUUGCAGAAUCCCGUGAACCAUCGAGUCUUUGAACGCAAGUUGCGCCUCAAGCCAUUAGGUUGAGGGCACGUCUGCCUGGGCGUCACAUAUCGUUGCCUGAUGCCAGUUUCCUCGUGAUGGGUGACUGUGCAGGGCGAAUGAUGGCUUCCCGUGAGCAUUGUUGCCUCAUGGUUGGUUGAAAAUUGAGUCCUUGGUAGGGAGCGCCGUGAUAGAUGGUGGUUGAGUGACGAACGAGACCCAAUCAUGUGAGACCCCUACCGAAUUUGGCCUUCAUGACCCACAUGCGUCUUUGGAACGCUCAUGACGAGACCUCAGGUCAGGCGGGGCUACCCGCUGAGUUUAAGCAUAGCAAUAAGCGGAGGA